Long non-coding RNA from Oncorhynchus tshawytscha (Chinook salmon), 897 nucleotides. NCBI's taxonomy places the organism in Eukaryota, Metazoa, Chordata, Actinopteri, Salmoniformes, Salmonidae. The record is from Ensembl.
GCACCACCAAGCAAGCUACACCAUGAAGACCAAGGAGUUCUCCAAACAGUCAUUACAGUAAAUCCAUUCCCGCCGAGAUCUCCGCCCACCAGCCAGCACUGGAUGUAAUACCUCUAAACGGCCAUGACGCAAAAGAAGAAUGCCCUGGUACAAAUGCACAAAUGCAUGACCCUCCUCCGCCACCUAGUGGGUAAAGCAAAAGAUGUGGUGCUAAAAAAAGGCUGAAAAUGCAUUUGAGUUGUGUCGUGCCUGAGGAAGUCCUGCAGCAUCAUCAUGAACCACACACCCUAGCCACAAGCUGUUCACUCCCUUACCGUCGGGAAGACGGGGCAUGAGGUCUCAUACCAACAGGCUCAGAGACAGUUUCUAUCUACAAGCCAUCAGGCUGCUGAACACUUGAACUGGACUGACCACCUGCUCUGAUUCUCUGCAACUUAGCACACAUGCACUCACACUCACACUCACACUCACACUCACACUCACACUCACACUCACACUCACACACACAUCACAAUUGCUGCUACCAGAUUCUUCUUUACUAUUGCUAAUACUGCACAAUUUAAACACUUGUCUCCCAAUCCCCCUGUCUCUGUGUAAAUAUUGUACAAUCAAUUGUGCCUUCCUAAAAUGUUUAUUCUAUUCUACUGAGCCAUUUACUUUGUUUGUAUUCUAAUAUUUUCUUAUUUCUUAUUGUUGUUGCAUUGUCGAGAAGGGACCUGCAAGUAAGCAUUUUGUUGGAUAGUGUAUACCAUGUGUACAACAAACUUGAAAUAAGACAUGUGAGUUGCUGGGCAGUCUUACAUAGAACAAACUCCCUGUGAUAGCUCUGUUAAUCCACACAGUAUAUUUGUACUCAGCAGUACCCUCUACUAUUUCAUUAAAGGAAUGACUCUCCAC